UACGUGGGGGGCAAGCGUUGUUCGGAAUUACUGGGCGUAAAGGGCGCGCAGGCGGCCUUAGAAGUCAGAUGUGAAAGCCCCGGGCUCAACCUGGGAAUGGCAUUUGAUACUCUGAGGCUGGAGUACGGGAGAGGAGAGUGGAAUUCCCAGUGUAGAGGUGAAAUUCGUAGAUAUUGGGAAGAACACCGGUGGCGAAGGCGGCUCUCUGGACCGUAACUGACGCUGAGGCGCGAAAGCGUGGGGAGCAAACAGG
This 253-nucleotide ribosomal RNA is filed under the name uncultured bacterium. RNAcentral describes it as "partial 16S ribosomal RNA". It matches the Rfam family "Bacterial small subunit ribosomal RNA", at positions 524 to 776 of the family's 1533-position model. The record is from RNAcentral.